This 371-nucleotide transfer-messenger RNA is filed under the name Candidatus Palauibacter australiensis. It matches the Rfam family "transfer-messenger RNA". Rfam says of the family: Bacterial tmRNA, also known as 10Sa RNA or SsrA, is named for its dual tRNA and mRNA-like properties. Its role is to liberate the mRNA from a stalled ribosome. To accomplish this part of the tmRNA is used as a reading frame that ends in a translation stop signal. Lineage: Bacteria; Pseudomonadati; Gemmatimonadota; Gemmatimonadia; Candidatus Palauibacterales; Candidatus Palauibacteraceae. The record is from RNAcentral.
GGGGGCGACACGGCUUCGACGCGUGAACCGGAAGCCGCGGAAGCGUGCCGAGGUGCCCGGGGCCUCGUUAAACACCGGGAAACCUUUAGGUGCCAACGACGGUUUGGCUCUGGCUGCGUAAACCUGCGUAGCCCGUCCCCGAGAGAUCCGGGCCCGAGGACCUCCCGACGGACGUCGAUGAAUCGGGCUGGUCACCCGGGCGCGCCGUGAGCCGCGGGUGACGAGAGCACGGCGAGAGCCGCGUACACGGCUGGUUUCGCAAGGGGUUGUUCGUGAACCCUCGUGGGACGAGACUCGAUCACGAACUACGCACGUAGAUGCCGUGGCGGAUGGGCUCGCGGACGCGGGUUCGAUUCCCGCCGCCUCCAUCA